GCAUUUGUUUUUUAACCUGGCUGCGACAUCUGUCACCCCAUUGAUCGCCAGGGUUGAUUCGGCUGAUCUGGCUGGCUAGGCGGGUGUCCCCUUCCUCCCUCACCGCUCCAUGUGCGUCCCUCCCAAAGCUGCGCGCUGGGUCAAAGAGGACCACCUUCCCUGAUAGAGGAGGACCAGUCUUCGGUCAAGGGUAUACGAGUAGCUGCGCUCCCCUGCUAGAACCUCCAAACAAGCUCUCAAAGGCCAAUAUAAUGUGAUCCUUUUUUAAAAAAUUUUUUUUAAGUUAUGGAUGGACACAGUAACUUUAUUUUAUUUGUUUAUUUUUAUGUGGUGCUGAGGAUUGAACCCAGUGCCUGCACGU
This is an unclassified non-coding RNA of Ictidomys tridecemlineatus (thirteen-lined ground squirrel), 361 nucleotides long. Its record names the gene 7SK. It matches the Rfam family "7SK RNA". From Rfam's summary of the family: 7SK was discovered as an abundant small nuclear RNA in the mid-70s but a possible function has only recently been suggested. Two independent studies have found that 7SK RNA binds the CDK9/cyclin T complex (known as elongation factor P-TEFb). NCBI's taxonomy places the organism in Eukaryota, Metazoa, Chordata, Mammalia, Rodentia, Sciuridae. The record is from Ensembl.